AUUGAACGCUGGCGGCAUGCUUUACACAUGCAAGUCGAACGGUAACAGGUUAAGCUGACGAGUGGCGAACGGGUGAGUAAUGCAUCGGAACGUGCCCGAUCGUGGGGGAUAACGCAGCGAAAGCUGCGCUAAUACCGCAUACGAUCUGAGGAUGAAAGCGGGGGACCGUAAGGCCUCGCGCGAUCGGAGCGGCCGAUGUCAGAUUAGGUAGUUGGUGGGGUAAAGGCUCACCAAGCCAACGAUCUGUAGCUGGUCUGAGAGGACGACCAGCCACACUGGGACUGGGACACGGCCCAGACUCAUACGGGAGGCAGCAGUGGGGAAUUUUGGACAAUGGGCGAAAGCCUGAUCCAGCAAUGCCGCGUGCAGGAAGAAGGCCUUCGGGUUGUAAACUGCUUUUGUACGGAGCGAAAAGGUCUCCUCUAAUACAGGGGGCUCAUGACGGUACCGUAAGAAUAAGCACCGGCUAACUACGUGCCAGCAGCCGCCGUAA
Molecule: ribosomal RNA, 493 nt
Filed under: uncultured bacterium
Lineage: Bacteria
Description: partial 16S ribosomal RNA
Rfam family: Bacterial small subunit ribosomal RNA
Source: RNAcentral